AUGCCACACACCCCGCGCCAACGCUUGCAGCCCCGCGCACCUGUGUGGUCCGAGACGGAAACGCGGGAUUUCCUGGCCCUCUGGGGUGAGCUCCUCAUCCUGCGGUGGAUCGAAAAUCGCCCACCAAACAGUGACAUCUACGAAGACCUCUCGGCCCAAAUGAUGGCCCGGGGUCACGAGCGCAAUGCCUCGCAGUGUAGGAACAGAGCUCGGGAUCUGAAGCGGAGCUACCGGAGGGCCAAGGAUGCACAAGUGUGCGCCGGAGCAGAACCGGUUUCCUGUCGCUACUUCCGAGAGUUGGAUCGGAUGUUCGGUGGCGAAAUGGACAGCGUUGCAAAUCGAAGCCUGGGCAGCAUGGACGGAUCCAGGCGCGUUGUUGUGAAGACCGAGGACGCUGAAGAUAUGGAGGCCCACGUCUCUGAGGAAGAGGGCAACCAAAUGACGCCACCAAACACGCUUUCGAGCAUGGAUGCCGACACUGACACAGAAACAGAACCCAAUUUGGGGAUCUCGCGAGAUCUGGUGGCCUCAGACCCGGAUGUGAUUGAAACCACAAUAGGAGAAGAGUGCUCUGAAGAGAAACCAGUGCCUUUACGCAGACAACCAGUCGCUGGCCCCAGUGAAGAUGGGCAUCAUGUUGCUACUGGCCGCGGAAGACGGGAGAAUAGCCUUGGGCGUCCUCUGACAACAGCGGAAAGAAUGGCAUCCAUGCGGGAGAGGAAGCGGCGGUCGCAUGAAGAAAUGAUGCAUGAGAUCAUGACAGACUACAGGAGGGCCUGGGAAACCAUGGAGGCACUUCACGAAAGAGGCGAAGUCAGUGCUGGGGAGUUUCGUGAAGCAAUGCUGAGGGAAAUGCUUCUAGAUCGAGAGGCUCGGACCCGAGAAGCCCAGCUCGAUCGUGAAUCUCGGGCUCGAGAGGCCCAGUUGGACAGAGAGUCAAGGGCCAGGGACAGCCAGCUGGAGAGGGAGAUCAGGAUUAAGGAGCUCAACAUGAUUGAAGCAGAGUUGCAGCGCACCAGGGAUCUCCUCCAUCCCAUGGUUGAUGCUGUGGUCUCUGUUGCUGAGAUCUUGCGUACAACAGGCAAAAAACUACGGCAGUCUUGUCAACUGAACCAAAGUGAAGAAGGUCCCUUUUUGGAAUUGGGAGAUAACAAAUAG
RNAcentral lists this long non-coding RNA (1158 nucleotides) under Anolis carolinensis (green anole). RNAcentral's name for it is "lncRNA (ENSACAG00000036174.1)". Lineage: Eukaryota; Metazoa; Chordata; Lepidosauria; Squamata; Anolidae. The record is from RNAcentral.